This 29-nucleotide small RNA is filed under the name Bombyx mori (domestic silkworm). RNAcentral's name for it is "ovarian small RNA-24912". The record is from RNAcentral. Lineage: Eukaryota; Metazoa; Arthropoda; Insecta; Lepidoptera; Bombycidae.
UCAAUUCAUUGUUAUUCACAUAUGUGGGC